This 441-nucleotide ribosomal RNA is filed under the name uncultured bacterium. RNAcentral's name for it is "partial 16S ribosomal RNA". It matches the Rfam family "Bacterial small subunit ribosomal RNA", at positions 338 to 795 of the family's 1533-position model. The record is from RNAcentral.
CCUACGGGAGGCAGCAGUCGGGAAUAUUGCGCAAUGGAGGCAACUCUGACGCAGUGACGCCGCGUAUGGGAAGAAGGUUUUCGGAUUGUAAACUAUUGUCGUUAGGGAAGAUAGAAGACUGUACCUAAGGAUGAAGCCCCGGCUAACUAUGUGGCAGCAGCAGCGGUAAUCCAAGGGGGGCCAGCGUUAGCCGGAAUUAUUGGGCGUAAAGUGAUCGGAGACGGAAGGACAAGUUGGUUGUGAAAUCCCUCGGCUCAACUGAGGAACUGCAACCAAAACUAUUCUCCUCGAGUGUCGGAGAGGAAAGUAGAAUUCCUAGUGUAGCGGUGAAAUGCGUAGAUAUUAGGAGGAACACCAGUGGCGAAGGCGACUUUCUGGACGAUAACUGACGUUGAGGCACGAAAGUGUGGGGAGCAAACAGGAUUAGAUACCCGAGUAGUC